Molecule: long non-coding RNA, 3561 nt
Organism: Peromyscus californicus insignis
Lineage: Eukaryota; Metazoa; Chordata; Mammalia; Rodentia; Cricetidae
Exons: 3
Source: RefSeq, a predicted model, not a curated record
CUCCCGUUCCCGCGCAGUGGCGGGAUUGCACCUGUAGGCGGCCUCCGUGUUGCUCUCUGGGUGGCGAAGCGCCGCCUGAAUAGAACCUCACCGCUGUCGCGGGCCACAGAACUUGCCUUCUCCUGGGUGAUGUGGAAAGCGAUGCCAUUUUCCACCUUGAGUUAGGCCUUGCAAUUAGCGGCGACACUCCUGCUCAUAAUCAAGGUCAAAGGGAACCCACAGGCUGGCUGAAGCCUCUGCCAGCCUCUUUCCAGCUGGGUCUAAACGGAACUCUUAAGGAAUACAGAUUUCCAUUAAAGGACUUGAGGGACGAAUGGAGUUUCAUACCUUGCAUUGGGCCCGCCAUGAAGAAAAGUGUGGCUUUUCCUGGAUCAGUUUCGCGCUCUGUUAGACAAAGGGCAUUGAUGGGUCAAGGGAAAAAUACUUUCCAACAUGCUGAAUUAUGAUAACAUAAAAAUAGAUAUUUGUGGCGAGCUACAUUUAAAGAGGCCCAGUAUAGACAGUACCAGAUACCUUUUGGUGGGGUCAAGAAAGCUGAUCGGUACAUUGGUUCAAGGCUACCAAAGAUAGUUCAGCAAUAUUGGCGUUUUAAUCACCCGAAAACGGUGAUUUCUUAAUGGCAAUGAGCCCCAUCUUGAUCAUUCCUGGGGAACUUAAUACAUAAUUGGGAAGCACAUAGCCAAAAUCAGAAUGAGUUUGCAACUGGUCAUAGAAACACCUGGCUCAGGCGGCAGACACCUGAGCAUUCCUCAAUAUCCCCAGCCCCUUUUCCACCAAUUAUCACUAACGCAAAGCAUCCAGUUGCCAAUCUUAAUCCAAUGCAGGUUUUACCCACUAAAGUUUCCAGAAACAAUAGUCCCCACUUCUCGCUCAACUCCUCGCUUUUACCUCUAUUCACCAAGUUAGGGUACUCAAUAGUGGUUUUAAAGCAAAGCUGUGUGGAAAAAAAGCUGCACAGCCCAUAAAGGCUGGAGUGGUCUUAGAGUGUACAGUCCUUGAGGUUCUAAGGUCUAAAGCUGUCUUCAAGUUUAAAGCUGUAUCCAAUAGUCCAUGCCACCUGGAAAGAGGCUGUAGAGUUAGGCAUUUACUUGGGAAUUUUUGAGCUAGCCACCUGAGUUACAUUGAAGAGCUACCUGGGAUUACAAUAGUCCUGCUAGUAACAAUUUCGGCUUCAUGAAAAUUGAGAUCAGUACCUGGGCACCAGUGAGUUUAGCUCACUUCUUUAAUAGGAAAUACAGUAGUUUUGAGUAGUGAAAAGCACCCAUGUAACUUAACAGGAAUGUCAAAUCACUAAUAAAUACCAAACUCUCCCAGCAAAUAGCACAGAGCCCCUAGUCAUUUCUGAGCCUGGGAAGGCAUAUUUGAGGAAGACAGUUGUGACUUACAGGGGAUUCUUUCGAAAAAUUUCACUUGGGGCUCUUCCAGUGAGCCGGGAGUCCCCCAAGAAGCUAGUUACGUUUAUUGCAAUGUACUCUGGGUGGAAGCUUUGUCCUCUACUUCCUUGAUCACCCGCCCCAUACUAGAGAAUGGGGAACUACUACUAAACAGAAUUCAGAUAUGGACAUUUCCCCUUGCCAAGCCAUAGCCUGCCUUCGAGCUUUGCUUUCCAAUUGUAAAUGAAUAGUCCAGAAAACAUUCCCAUGAAAAAUGCCACUUAGCCAUUACCCUUACCCCUGAGAGAAAGGAGGGGUUCAGAGCCAGUUACCCUAGGACCCACUGCAUGUGUUUGGAUAGCUUCUGUAAUUUUUUAAAGAUGAUGCCUCAAUUUCUGUUCCACAAAAUGUACCCCAACUUUAUUGAAUCAUCAAAGAAGAGUACCAACUUCCCAUAGGGCUUACCAAGAGACGUUCAAGUUAUAAUGAUUGUAUUUUAAACCGUUUAAUCAACUGAAAUCCUUAGUCAACACUGAUAAGAAUCAGCUAAUCAAUAUUUAUUGAGAAGUAACUGUUGCAUGCAGCAGCAGGGAUGAUCUAAAGAAUAACACAUGAAGGGAAAUAAGCCCAGCACCAAGAGUACAACAUGUAUGAGUUCCUUUAUACAAAGCUCUAGAACAGGAAAAACUAGUCUCAGGUGAAAAAUGAAGUAUGGGAAGGGUGGUGGGUGGUUGGAGAUUUGAUGUGUUUGAUGCUUUCCUGAGCGUGAGAUAAGGCUAUUAUCUGUGUCUUAAUAAGGAGUUGGGUGACACAGGUGUGCGCAUUAUCAACUUUCACUAACAAGCACAUCUGAAACCAGUGCCAGUCAUUAUUUGUUAAAGAGAGAGAGAGAGAGAGAGAGAGAGAGAGAGAGAGAGAGAGAGAGAGAGAGAGAGAUUGAAAGAUUGAGAGUCCCCCCCAUUACUUAUAUCAGUACAAAAGCAUUUAGAAAUAUUUGAAAUGAGACCUACAAUGUAACUUUAAAUGCAUAAAAAGUAGAGAAUGGCUAGGUGACUAGCUAUACUGCCUAAAGAAAGCAAUAAAGUCUUAGAGCCUAGCACAUGGGAAGGAGGAGGAUGACUUUGAGUUCAAGGCCAGCAUGGUCUAUGUCCUGAGAUCCUAUCUCAGCAAGACAGAAGAGUGAGAAGAGUGGGGGCAGGAGAAGGGACCAAUGAAUCUAGGGAAUAGACUUGUUCACUGUAAAAUUCCUCCAAAUUUCUCUUUGAAAUGUCAGUUACAAAAUGUUGAGGAAAUAGUUAUUGAUAUACCUGUUAUUAUCCAAAGUUCCAAGAACAUGGCAGAAACCACCCAAAUCCUGGACUUCAGCAGGGUAGAGCAAAGCAUUCAUGUUCAAGGAUUAGAGGUGGUGUAGAUGGAGGUAGUAACCAAAGCCCAUGGCUCUUUUCCCUGAUUACUUGUCCUUCUAAUUCUUUUCUUCAUUGCAGUAAAUAGUCCGAAUUAAAGACGAGGAAUAUAUAAUGCGCCCUUUAAAAUCUUUUAUCUUGUUUUUAAAAUAUGUUUUAUGUAUAUGUCUGGUUAACCUGUGUGUAUGUGUGUGUGUGUGUGUGUGUGUGUGUGUGUGUGUGUGUGUAGUACAUGCAUGCCUAGUGCCUGAAGAGGUUAUAAAAUGGCAUCAGAUACCCUGGAAAUGGAGUUAUGGAUGUCUGUCAGCCACACUGUGGAUUCUAGGAACUGAACUCAGGCGCUCUGAAAGAGCAACAAGUGAUCUUAACAGCUGAGCUAUAUCUCUCAAGGUUCUCUCUCUCCCUGUUUGCAGAAAAGUUAAUGCAUCUUUUCAAGUCCUAUUCUAUGGAUAUAAUAUCUCUCUGUCUCUUUUCAAUAGAGACAAAGAAGACUUAUAUGUCCUGGAAGAUCCUCUUGUCCUAUAAUGGGUUACUGCUUCAGACUCCUGGUCAAGGCUCCUAGAAAUUCUGCCCAGUCAGUUCUCCAGUUUGAACAGGGAACAGAAAGAGAUUUCAUAUCAAAAGAAUGAAUUCAUAAAGGUGCUCCAGGACCAUAUAAUCUUCAUGGAGCUGAGACAAUUAGAGUGAGAAACCCUGCUUGUGUGCUAUCUUGAUCUCCAGGGAAAAGGGGAGAAGGACCCAAGCAGUAUUCAGAGAAUAAAUGGUCUCCAGUGACUAAUUAAAGG